CAAAGUGUAGCUUAUUUAAAGCACCUGGCUUACACCCAGAAGAUUCCAUAUAAUGAUGGCCACUUUGA
This 68-nucleotide transfer RNA is filed under the name Desmalopex leucoptera (White-winged flying fox). RNAcentral describes it as "Desmalopex leucopterus (White-winged flying fox) tRNA-Val". It matches the Rfam family "tRNA". From Rfam's summary of the family: Transfer RNA (tRNA) molecules are approximately 80 nucleotides in length. Their secondary structure includes four short double-helical elements and three loops (D, anti-codon, and T loops). Further hydrogen bonds mediate the characteristic L-shaped molecular structure. tRNAs have two regions of fundamental functional importance: the anti-codon, which is responsible for specific mRNA codon recognition, and the 3' end, to which the tRNAs corresponding amino acid is attached (by aminoacyl-tRNA synthetases). tRNAs cope with the degeneracy of the genetic code in two manners: having more than one tRNA (with a specific anti-codon) for a particular amino acid; and 'wobble' base-pairing, i.e. permitting non-standard base-pairing at the 3rd anti-codon position. The record is from RNAcentral. Lineage: Eukaryota; Metazoa; Chordata; Mammalia; Chiroptera; Pteropodidae.